RNAcentral lists this ribosomal RNA (260 nucleotides) under uncultured bacterium. RNAcentral's name for it is "partial 16S ribosomal RNA". It matches the Rfam family "Bacterial small subunit ribosomal RNA", at positions 524 to 777 of the family's 1533-position model. The record is from RNAcentral.
GACGAAGGAUGCAAGCGUUAUCCGGAUUCAUUGGGUUUUAAAAGGGAGCGUAGGUGGCCUUAUAAGUCAGUGGUGAAAUCUCUGGGCUUAACCCAGAAAAUUGCCAUUGAUACUGUAGGGCUUGAGUAUAGUUGCCGUUGGCGGAAUAUGACAUGUAGUGGUGAAAAUACAUAGAGAUGUCAUAGAACACCGAUUGCGAAGGCAGCUAACGAAAACUAUAACUGACACUGAGGCUCGAAAGUGCGGGGAUCAAAACAGGG